AUUAAACUGACGAGUCCAAAAUCGGACGAAACGCGCAUCUUAGAU
Schistosoma mattheei is the source of this 45-nucleotide non-coding RNA. Lineage: Eukaryota; Metazoa; Platyhelminthes; Trematoda; Strigeidida; Schistosomatidae. The record is from Rfam.